This 441-nucleotide ribosomal RNA is filed under the name uncultured bacterium. RNAcentral describes it as "partial 16S ribosomal RNA". It matches the Rfam family "Bacterial small subunit ribosomal RNA", at positions 338 to 795 of the family's 1533-position model. The record is from RNAcentral.
CCUACGGGAGGCAGCAGUGGGGAAUAUUGGGCAAUGGGCGCAAGCCUGACCCAGCAACGCCGCGUGAAGGAAGAAGGCUUUCGGGUUGUAAACUUCUUUUGUCAGGGAAGAGUAGAAGACGGUACCUGACGAAUAAGCCACGGCUAACUACGUGCCAGCAGCCGCGGUAAUACGUAGGUGGCAAGCGUUUUCCUGAUUUACUGGGUGUAAAGGGCGUGUAGCCGGGUUGACAAGUCAGAUGUGAAAUCCUGCGGCUUAACCGCAGAACUGCAUUUGAAACUGUUGAUCUUGAGUACUGGAGAGGCAGACGGAAUUCCGAGUGUAGCGGUGAAAUGCGUAGAUAUUAGGAGGAACACCAGUGGCGAAGGCGGUCUGCUGGACAGCAACUGACGGUGAGGCGCGAAAGCGUGGGGAGCAAACAGGAUUAGAUCCCCAGUAGUC